AGAGUUUGAUCCUGGCUCAGAACGAACGCUGGCGGCAUGGAUUAGGCAUGCAAGUCGAACGGUGGCAGCAAUGUCAUAGUGGCGCAAGGGUGAGGAACGCGUGAGUGAUCUGCCCUCAAGUUUGGAAUAGCUCCUGGAAACGGGAAUUAAUACCGGAUGAGAUUGUAAAGCUGCAUGGUUUUGCAAUGAAAGCAGCAAUGCGCUUGAGGAGGAGCUCGCGUCCCAUUAGCUGGUUGGUGAGGUAAAGGCCCACCAAGGCGAUGAUGGGUAGCUGGUCUGAGAGGACGACCAGCCACACUGGGACUGAGAACUGCCCAGACUCCUACGGGAGGCUGCAGUCGAGAAUUUUGGGCAAUGGACGAAAGUCUGACCCAGCAAUGCCGCGUGCGGGAUGAAGGUCUUCGGAUUGUAAACCGCUGUCGAGGGGGACGAAAAUUGACGGUACCCCUGGAGGAAGCCACGGCUAACUACGUGCCAGCAGCCGCGGUAAUACGUAGGUGGCGAGCGUUGUUCGGAUUUAUUGGGCGUAAAGGGUCCGCAGGGGGUUGAUUAAGUCUGACGUGAAAUCCCUGAGCUCAACUCAGGAAUGGCGUUGGAGACUGGUUGACUGGAGUAUUGGAGAGGUAAUUGGAAUUCCAGGUGUAGCGGUGGAAUGCGUAGAUAUCUGGAAGAACAUCGAAAGCGAAGGCAGAUUACUGGACAAUGACUGACCCUCAGGGACGAAAGCAUGGGGAGCAAACAGGAUUAGAUACCCUGGUAGUCCAUGCCCUAAACGGUGUAAACUUGAUGUGAGCGGAAUUACUCCCGUUUGUGUCGAAGCUAACGCGAUAAGUUUACCGCCUGGGAACUACGGCCGCAAGGCUAAAACUCAAAGGAAUUGACGGGGGCCCGCACAAGCGGUGGAGCAUGUGGCUUAAUUCGAGGCAACGCGAAGAACCUUACCU
RNAcentral lists this ribosomal RNA (944 nucleotides) under Lentisphaerae bacterium ADurb.Bin242. RNAcentral's name for it is "bacterial SSU rRNA". It matches the Rfam family "Bacterial small subunit ribosomal RNA", at positions 8 to 976 of the family's 1533-position model. Lineage: Bacteria; Pseudomonadati; Lentisphaerota. The record is from RNAcentral.